UUAAUAUUUGAUUCUGGUUUAAUUCUUUAUUUUAUAGUUAAAAUCACAUGGAAAUUAUUUAUUAAUGGGUAAUUAAAAUUAAUUUUAUAUUAAUAUUUAAAAUAAAUAUAAUUUAUAUCAUAAUUAUUUAUAGGCCCAGUGGAAAGACUUAAAUUAUGUAUGCAAGUAUGAGUUAGUAAACAAUAAUUAAGCCCGAUGAAUAUUUGUGCCAGCAUUCGCGGUUAUACUUUAGGGUUAAAUAGAGAGGUGUAAUAUUAAGUUAUUUGUAUGUAUUAUAGUGGUUUAUAUUUGUCGGUAGGUGAAAUUAUUAUGAUAAUUUGUAAAUUAAAGAUAUUUUAAGGAAGCUAAAAAGUUUUAAGGAUAAACUAGGAUUAGAUACCCUAUUAUAUUAAAAUUUAAUUGAAUAAUAUUGGAUUAUUAGUAAGUAUAAUUUGAAACUUAAAGAAUUUGGCGGUAAUUUAGUCUUGUCAGAGGAACCUGUUUAAAUAAUUGAUACACCACGUAAUAUCUUACUUAUUAUUAAUUAGUUUGUAUACCAUCAUUAUUAGAUAAUUUUUAGAGGGUAAAUUAUUAAAAUUAAUUAGUUAAAAAAAUUAGAUCAAGGUGCAGCUUAUAAAUAAGUUUAAAUGGGUUACAAUGGAAUUUAUCUAAACGAAAUGGGUUAGUAAGUUUGACUUAGGAAGGGGGAUUUGAUAGUAUUAGGGGUUUAAUAAGCCUGUGAGAUAGUAGCUCUAAAUUAUGUACAUAUCGCCCGUCGCUUUCAUUAUUUGGUGAGAUAAGUCGUAACAUAGUAGGGGUACUGGAAGGUGCCCCUAGAAGUAU
RNAcentral lists this non-coding RNA (822 nucleotides) under Indochinamon bhumibol. The record is from RNAcentral. Lineage: Eukaryota; Metazoa; Arthropoda; Malacostraca; Decapoda; Potamidae.